Oryza sativa Indica Group (long-grained rice) is the source of this 197-nucleotide microRNA precursor. It matches the Rfam family "MIR812 microRNA precursor family". NCBI's taxonomy places the organism in Eukaryota, Viridiplantae, Streptophyta, Magnoliopsida, Poales, Poaceae. The record is from Rfam.
AGCUAACACAACCAUGAGUUUCCGUGUCUAACUUUGAUCAUCCGUCUUAUUUGAAUUUUUUUUAUAAAUACUAUUUUUGUUGUCAUGAGAUGAUAAAACAUAAAUAGAACUUUAUGCGCGACUUCUGUUUUUUUUUAAUUUUUUCUUAAAUAAAACGGACAGUUAGUUAGGUAUAGGAAACCAUAAAUGUACUUAAA